GCUAGCCCCAGGCCUCUGAGCAUGGGCCACCAGGUGGGGUCCCACCCCUCAGGUGCUUUCUUUCUGCUGGAAUCGCUGAAUUCAUAGAAUAAACUGGGAACUGCUGUUACCUGCCAUUUACUUUAUUCGUUGAGAACACCUGUGACACAGCCCAGAGCAGAGGUGGAAAACAGGAAAAAGGAUGUGGACUAGAGAACAUCAUGCGAGGCCCCAGAUCCAGCUGCGUCUGAAGCCAGCAUCACUUCUGGAACUUUCCGAGUGACCUCCAUGGAGGUAUCACGCUGGUGCUUUCCUCGUCUGAUCUUGUAGGCGCCCCGGCAGCCACUGGAAGAUACUGCUAUUCCCGCUAUAAAGAAAGGGGGAGCUGAGAUGCAAAAAUGGUGGGCACUUUGCCCGAAGUCACACAG
Molecule: long non-coding RNA, 407 nt
Organism: Lemur catta (Ring-tailed lemur)
Lineage: Eukaryota; Metazoa; Chordata; Mammalia; Primates; Lemuridae
Exons: 3
Source: RefSeq, a predicted model, not a curated record